CCCUAUCCUUCGUUCCAUCCACUUAGAAGACGGCCCACCUCCUGCUGCCGGCUUGGCAGUGUUGGGCGGAUUCUGUUUUGAAACUGCGUCUAAAGUUACAGGGAACAAGAGCUCCUUGCAAGAAAAAGAGAAUGAGAAGAAAUUAAGUGCACCCGGCCACCUACACCCAGGAGAGGCCUCAAUAUUUGUACUUAGUAGGAGCAUCUGGAUUCCAGGGACCUGAAGCACACUCCAGGGCAUGCUAGUGAGCAUGCGCGUUUCUCCCUGGCCCCGCAAUACCGUUUUAAAAGGUGAGGCAGAAUUCGGGUUUAUCACCAGCAGUUAUAAAAUGGAGCGCAGUCCCACUUUUCCUUGGCAUCGUCUUCCCCAGCACCCUUACUACAAGAUCUUU
Molecule: long non-coding RNA, 391 nt
Organism: Mastomys coucha (southern multimammate mouse)
Lineage: Eukaryota; Metazoa; Chordata; Mammalia; Rodentia; Muridae
Exons: 3
Source: RefSeq, a predicted model, not a curated record